RNAcentral lists this ribosomal RNA (856 nucleotides) under uncultured bacterium. RNAcentral describes it as "bacterial SSU rRNA". It matches the Rfam family "Bacterial small subunit ribosomal RNA", at positions 28 to 896 of the family's 1533-position model. The record is from RNAcentral.
AAUGAACGUUGGCGGCGUGGAUUAGGCAUGCAAGUCGAGCGAGAACCGUAGCAAUACGGGGACAGCGGCGAAAGGGAGAGUAACACGUGGAUACCUACCCCCAGGUCCAGGAUAGCCGUGGGAAACUGCGGGUAAUACUGGAUGAUAUCUCCGGAUCAAAGGUGUGAUUCCGCCCGGGGAUGGGUCCGCGUCCUAUUAGCUAGUUGGUAGGGUAACGGCCUACCAAGGCAAAGAUGGGUAUGGGGCGUGAGAGCGUGCCCCCACUCACUGGGACUGAGACACUGCCCAGACACCUACGGGUGGCUGCAGUCGAGGAUCUUCGGCAAUGGGCGCAAGCCUGACCGAGCGACGCCGCGUGCGGGAUGAAGGCCUUCGGGUUGUAAACCGCUGUCAGAGGGGAGGAAAUGCCGGUGGGUUCUCCCAUCGGUUUGACCUAUCCUCAGAGGAAGGACGGGCUAAGUUCGUGCCAGCAGCCGCGGUAAGACGAACCGUCCAAACGUUAUUCGGAAUCACUGGGCUUAAAGGGUGCGUAGGCGGUGCGGAAAGUUGGGUGUGAAAGCCCUCGGCUCAACCGAGGAAUUGCGCCCAAAACUACCGUGCUCGAGGAAGAUAGAGGUGAGCGGAACUUAGGGUGGAGCGGUGAAAUGCGUUGAUAUCCUAAGGAACACCAGUAGCGAAAGCGGCUCACUGGGUCUUUUCUGACGCUGAGGCACGAAAGCUAGGGGAGCGAAGAGGAUUAGAUACCCUCGUAGUCCUAGCCCUAAACAAUGAGCACUGGUUUGGAGGGCCCUCCAUAGCCCUCCAGACGUAGCGAAAGUGUUAAGUGCUCCGCCUGGGGAGUAUGGUCGCAAGGCUG